Molecule: unclassified non-coding RNA, 345 nt
Filed under: soil metagenome
Description: partial contains 5.8S ribosomal RNA, internal transcribed spacer 2, and large subunit ribosomal RNA
Rfam family: 5.8S ribosomal RNA (bases 1-120)
Source: RNAcentral
GAUGAAGAACGUAGCGAAAUGCGAUACGUAAUGUGAAUUGCAGAAUUCAGUGAAUCAUCGUGUCUUUGAACGCACAUUGCGCCCCCUGGUAUUCCGGGGGGCAUGCCUGUCCGAGCGUCAUUGCUGCCCUCAAGCACGGCUUGUGUGUUGGGCCUCCGUCCUCCUCCCGGGGGCCGGGCCCGAAAGGCAGCGGCGGCACCGCGUCCGGUCCUCGAGCGUAUGGGGCUUCGUCACCCGCUCUUGUAGGCCCGGCCGGCGCUUGCCGACACAUCAAUCUUUUUUCCAGGUUGACCUCGGAUCAGGUAGGGAUACCCGCUGAACUUAAGCAUAUCAAUAAGCGGAGGA